CAUGCACGCGCCCUGCCAAAAGCAAUAGGCCACAGUAGAAGAGACAGAAAGGAAAAAUGGCUGGCAUCAAUAAGAAAGAAUUCGAAGAACUACAAGUUGAUGGAAGUAACUAUCUAUCAUGGGCCAUGGAUAUGAAAAUAAAUUUGACUGGACGUAACCUUGGCCCUUGCAUUGCCACACCCCCGAAAAUGCUCCGUAAAUACCACAAGUGGUAAAGUAUGUGGCAUUGCAUUUCAUAAGGCACCACCUCCAUCCUGAUUUAAAAACUGAAUAUCUGAUGGAAGAGGACCCACUAGCUUUAUGGAACUCCCUAAAGGAGAUAUGACCAACAAAGAGCAGUAAUGUUGCCAGAAGCCCAGAGAGAAUGGUCUCUCAUAAGGUUCCAGGACUUUAAGUCUGUGGCUGCAUACAAUUCUGCAGUGCAUAAGAUUAAUUCCAAACUGAGAUUUUGCAAUAAGCAAGCUUCAGACGAGGACUUAAUAGAGAAAACCUUAUGCACUUUCCACCCCUCGAUGAGGAUAUUGCAACAGCAAUAUCGUCAACAAAAAUACAAAAAGUAUUCUGAGCUUAUAUACACAUUACUUCAGGCUGAGAAGCAUGAUGAACUUCUCAUGGAAAAUCACAAUGCUCGCCCAACGGGCGUCAUGCCAAUCCCUGAAGCACAUGCUAAUGCUCAUUUUACUAGUAAAUUUGGAAACCGUAAACGGAACUUCCGAAAAUUCAAGGGAAAGUGGAAACCGAACAAUGGUCAAAAGACCAACGGUCCAUCUAAGGGAAAUGGUCAAUUUAAUAAAAAUAACCAAAAUGACAACUCUCAAACUUGUCAAAUGUGUGGAUGUACGAAUCAUCGUACUAAUGAAUGCAGUAUGCCCGACCACCUCGUGGAACUAUACAUGAAGUAUGGCAAAGAAGUCAAACAAGUUCAUGGAAACAAAGCUGAAGCUCACUUCAACGACAUACAAGACAACUCUCAAGUUGGUCCAUCUCAAAGUUCUAUUGAAGAAUUCGAGCCAAAAGACGAUAAAACACUUGAUGUCAUUUAGCCAUUAAAUUACUACAAACUGUUAUAUUGUAUAACAAUACGUAGAAUAAAGUCUAUCAGACUAUGUAGAAUAAAAGUCUAUCAGACCAUGUAUAUUGUAUUAUGUGAAUCAGACAUAAUAUUGCAAUGUAUUUAUAUUUGAUAUUUGUAACAUAAAUACUAUGUUGGUGAAUAUAUGAGUAAAAAUAUAUUCUAUACAUUCAAUUCUAUUUACGGGAAACAAUCCGAUGAAAAAAAAAUCCUAUUUAAGUGAGUGGUACCACCACUUCUAUCAUUUUUAAGGGAAACGAAACAUUUCCAAACUCUUACUAAGAGUAAGGACGAUGUUAUGACCGUAAAUAGGCAUAACACAACAAUUAUUGGUUCCUAAAGAACCAUAUUCAUACUCCCUAUAGGUACUAUUAUUGUAGAUCAGAAUGCACUCUUGUGUCCUGAUUAUACCUUCAUUCGGAUUAUGUUAUACAUACAUAAAACCCGUACCUUAUGUUACAAGAUAAUUUUCAAAA
Molecule: non-coding RNA, 1548 nt
Organism: Lolium perenne
Lineage: Eukaryota; Viridiplantae; Streptophyta; Magnoliopsida; Poales; Poaceae
Source: RefSeq, a predicted model, not a curated record